RNAcentral lists this ribosomal RNA (353 nucleotides) under uncultured Leptolinea sp. RNAcentral describes it as "bacterial SSU rRNA". It matches the Rfam family "Bacterial small subunit ribosomal RNA", at positions 1013 to 1382 of the family's 1533-position model. Lineage: Bacteria; Bacillati; Chloroflexota; Anaerolineae; Anaerolineales; Anaerolineaceae. The record is from RNAcentral.
GGACCCUUCGGGAGCUUGCACAGGUGCUGCAUGGCUGUCGUCAGCUCGUGUCGUGAGAUGUUCGGUUAAGUCCGCUAACGAGCGCAACCCUCGCUGUGUGUUAUAUGUGUCACACGGGACUGCCGGUCUUAAGCCGGAGGAAGGUGGGGAUGAUGUCAAGUCAGCAUGGCCUUUAUAUCCUGGGCUACACACACGCUACAAUGGCCAACACAAUAGGUUGCUAAGCCGCGAGGUGGCGCCAAUCCAUAAAGUUGGUCUCAGUUCAGAUUGUAGGCUGCAACCCGCCUGCAUGAAGAUGGAGUUGCUAGUAACCGCAGGUCAGCUAUACUGCGGUGAAUACGUUCCCGGGGCUU